ACGAACUGUCUACAUAUGAACUGAAAUUUUAAGAAUAGGAAAAGGUAAAAGGAAAUAUUUAAGUGAUGCCAAAUUCUUGUGCACGUUAACCACUCAAAGAAGCAUAAACAAGAAUCCAAUGGUGCUAAACAGCCAAAAUAAAGGAUCCAUAGGCAAUCAUGUAGAAUUUCCAUGGAGUUUCAGGAUGUCAAUUAAUAUAGUCAUAACAAAAUUUGAGAAAAUUAUGCGCUGGGCCUUGAACAAUUGAACAUAAGAUGGCCAUAAGCCAAAAAAAAACACAAUAAGAAAUACGCAUAAUCAAGCAAAAUAAUAAGAAUUAAAUGUUGAUG
RNAcentral lists this unclassified non-coding RNA (329 nucleotides) under Hevea brasiliensis (rubber tree). The record is from RNAcentral. Lineage: Eukaryota; Viridiplantae; Streptophyta; Magnoliopsida; Malpighiales; Euphorbiaceae.